Molecule: ribosomal RNA, 244 nt
Filed under: uncultured Staphylococcus sp.
Lineage: Bacteria; Bacillati; Bacillota; Bacilli; Caryophanales; Staphylococcaceae
Description: partial 16S ribosomal RNA
Rfam family: Bacterial small subunit ribosomal RNA
Source: RNAcentral
CGGCGGACGGGUGAGUAACACGUGGAUAACCUACCUAUAAGACUGGGAUAACUUCGGGAAACCGGAGCUAAUACCGGAUAAUAUUUUGAACCGCAUGGUUCAAAAGUGAAAGACGGUCUUGCUGUCACUUAUAGAUGGAUCCGCGCUGCAUUAGCUAGUUGGUAAGGUAACGGCUUACCAAGGCAACGAUGCAUAGCCGACCUGAGGGGGUGAUCGGCCACACUGGAACUGAGACACGGUCCAG